CGCAGGGACUGCAAGGAGCCGCA
RNAcentral lists this microRNA (23 nucleotides) under Rattus norvegicus (Norway rat). RNAcentral describes it as "rno-miR-6332". The record is from miRBase by way of RNAcentral. Lineage: Eukaryota; Metazoa; Chordata; Mammalia; Rodentia; Muridae.